GUAAAGGAUGUGAUGAUAAUAUCUUUUUUCCCCAACUUAUCGACAAUGAUGAGAAAAAUAGCUGAUUAUUUAGCCAGAUUAUCUGAUCCUUUUGU
Molecule: small nucleolar RNA, 95 nt
Organism: Hydra vulgaris (swiftwater hydra)
Lineage: Eukaryota; Metazoa; Cnidaria; Hydrozoa; Anthoathecata; Hydridae
Product: small nucleolar SNORD12/SNORD106
Source: RefSeq, a predicted model, not a curated record